This is a transfer RNA of 94 nucleotides. It matches the Rfam family "tRNA". From Rfam's summary of the family: Transfer RNA (tRNA) molecules are approximately 80 nucleotides in length. Their secondary structure includes four short double-helical elements and three loops (D, anti-codon, and T loops). The record is from Rfam.
GGGGGUAUAGCUCAGCUGGGAGAGCAGCAGACUGAAGUUGCGAUAGAAAACAUUUGUGUUCUGAAGGUCCCGCGUUCGAUCCGCGGUACCCCCA